Molecule: long non-coding RNA, 778 nt
Filed under: Pan troglodytes (chimpanzee)
Lineage: Eukaryota; Metazoa; Chordata; Mammalia; Primates; Hominidae
Description: lincRNA
Source: RNAcentral
CUGGGAGUGGCGCGGCUGCUUCCCGCCCGCGCAGGAUCAGGCCGGCCCCCGCGGGCCUGGAUCUGGAUCCAGAGCUAGGGAAACUGGAAAAACAGGCACAAACUCGGAAGCCGCGGUACGGCAAGAGCCUAAGCAAAGAAUCCUUUCCAAGAUUCACACCUCGUCUACACCAGGGCACCGCCUGGGCCUACGGCCUUCCGAACCCGAAGCGCCCGCAGCCCAGAGCUGGCAUCAGGCCGGGAAGGUCGUCGCAGGCCCCAGAGUGCGGGCGCGGGAGGCGCGCGCCCACAGGACGCCCGGGGUUGGGUAGGCAGGAGAGAAGGGCGCCAGCAGGCCCGCGGCUGUUUCCCCUCGGUCCGCACAGAGGGCCCGGGAGGCCAUUUUGAGAGCGCGAAGAGGGGCGGCAAGAUGGCUGCGUGGGCACCCGGAAGGUCGCCGCGCCAAGGGCCCGCUGAGCCCCUCCUCGCAUUCGUCCAGCCGUGCGGCCCACAGAAGCGGAACGCGCGUCGAGAGCGCCCUGUCCGCUCGCCCCAGACAGAUGCCCGGUUAUUCAUUACCCCGAGGCCUAGAGGAAAGAGUGGCUGCCGUCUUCCUGCCCACAGCCCGCCGGACCCUCCGUCGCGGCUGCCCGGUCCCCGGAGCCGCAGCCGCCGAGCCCGGCUGUGCGUGUCGUGGCUGCUGGGGAGAAAGAGGCGUCCGGACAUACUCUGGAGUCAGAAGACAGCGAAAAGAGAAGCAGAAGCCCCGGUGGCAAGAGUCUGAAGCAGGAAGGAUGACU